This 301-nucleotide ribosomal RNA is filed under the name uncultured bacterium. RNAcentral's name for it is "partial 16S ribosomal RNA". It matches the Rfam family "Bacterial small subunit ribosomal RNA", at positions 509 to 809 of the family's 1533-position model. The record is from RNAcentral.
CAGUAGCCACGGGAAUACGUAGGUGGCAAGCGUUGUCCGGAAUUAUUGGGCGUAAAGGGCCCGCAGGCGGUUUCUUAAGUCUGAUGUGAAAGCCCCCGGCUCAACCGGGGAGGGUCAUUGGAAACUGGGAAACUUGAGUGCAGAAGAGGAGAGUGGAAUUCUACGUGUAGCGGUGAAAUGCGUAGAGAUGUGGAGGAACACCAGUGGCGAAGGCGACUCUCUGGUCUGUAACUGACGCUGAGGAGCGAAAGCGUGGGGAGCGAACAGGAUUAGAUACCCCAGUAGUCCCUGUCUCUUAUAA